This 1395-nucleotide ribosomal RNA is filed under the name Triticum aestivum (bread wheat). RNAcentral describes it as "partial small subunit ribosomal RNA". Lineage: Eukaryota; Viridiplantae; Streptophyta; Magnoliopsida; Poales; Poaceae. The record is from RNAcentral.
AUGUUUGUUAGGCAUAAAGAGAAAGAUAAUUUUCAUGUGAGGCUGCAAGUUGAUGUGCUUGAGCAGGCAUUUGGACCUAGGAUGACGGGUGCAAUAUCUCAGGGAGAACUAAGUCGUCGUAAUGGCAUCUCUAGCCAGAACAGUUCAGUUGGUGCACGACGACGUGGUGGCUCGGCAAGUGUGGGCAACAGCAGUAGGGUCCCCAUUGAAGUGGAGCCUGAUGACUACAAUUCUGGGGUUGAUGAAGAGAAUCUAUAUUCUGAUGUUAUUCAGAAUUUACGACGGGCACCUCGGACUGAAAACCAAGAUGAGAUUCACAAUGCAGUCUGUGUGGAUGAUGACGCGGUGGGUGAGGACGAAGACCUUGCAGCUGUUGAAUGGGACCCUUUGAACCCUCAUAUGGAAGAAGGUACAGUUUUUGCAUCCAUGAAUGAGUGUAGAAAUGCACUUGUGACAUACUGCAUCAAGGUAGAACGUACUUUCAAAGUUGACAAGAGCGAUCAAGUACGUUACAGAGUGCACUGUCCGACUGAGGGUUGUCCAUGGAGGCUGCUCGCAUCUAAAAUGCAAAAUAGCACUAAUGUUCAGGUCAAAGUGAACCCUUUUAAGCACACAUGCCAGGAAUCAACCCUUAGAAAGGAUACAAUCAGUAGAGCCAAGUCAAGAUGGGUGGCAGAAGAAGUAAAGAAGUGGAUGAAAGAAAACCAGCAAGUGGGUCCAAAGGAAUUGCAGAAGAACAUUAAAGAUAAGUUCAAGAUAGAUUUACCAUACAUGAGGUUGUUUAAUGGUAAACAUGCUAUGGAUUCUAUUUAUGGUAACUGGCAAGAAAGUUUUCAAUUGUUGUAUUCAUUCAAAGGUGAAGUGGAGAGGACAAGCUCAGGUAGUAUUGUAGAUAUUGAUCACCACACCAUGGAGUACACAUUCAGGGGAGUGACAAAGACCAAGGAAUGCUUUAGGAGGGUUUUUGUCUGCUUUGAGGCUUGUCGCCGGGGUUUUUUGGCAGGCUGCAGGCCUUAUUUGGCUAUUGAUGCCACUUUUCUCACAUGGAGGUUUAAAGGACAGUUAGUAGCAGCUUGUGCAGUUGAUGCACACGGUUUUGUAUUUCUAGUUGCCUACGGUGUGCUGGAGACAGAGUCUGAGGAAAGUUGGACUUGGUUUUUGCAUAAUCUGCGCCGGGCUAUUGCACAUCCCAAUGGGUUGGUCAUUCAUACAGAUGCCUGCAAAGGUUUAGAAGUGGUCGUGGACAAUGUGUUCCCUGGAGUAGAGCAUAGGGAAUGCAUGCGUUACCUUGCUGCAAAUUUCAUGAAGAAAUUCAAAGGAAAGGUGUAUACCGACAAUUUAUGGCCAGUAUCUUUGACUUGCAGUGUGAAGAAGCACAACUACCACUUGAGGUAG